AGUGAAGUCUGAGAGAGUAUAAGUGUGUAUAACUGAGGAAAUUCAGGAAGAGAAAGUUAAGUAACCUGACCAAGAUCAGAGAGUGAAGAAGCCUGGGCACUUACAGGGAAUCUAAGAACUGCCAGGGAUGGAAUCACAUCCUCCGCGCUUAGCUUUGAAAGACUGUUAACAUUGCAGCAUGAUGCCAUGUCCAACAAGCAGAACAGCGGGGAAAAUUAAGAGUAGCUUGUAAGGGUACCUCAGAGUAGUCUCACAGAGUGCCACCAACUGUCCCAGGGAGCACAGAAAGCAAUCUAGGACCCACUGAAACCAUCCCAGAGAUGAGGUGCAGAAGUCACAUGUGGAGGCCUGAGGUUGGGACAAGAAGGCCACAGAGAGCAGAAACCUCACAAAGGGCAUUGUGUGGGCACAGUCAGCACUGAGCCCCAGCACAAGGCUCAAACCAUGCAGAAGGCACCAGCCACACCUCAAGGGACAACAAAGGAUGCCCAGAAGAGGCAGGAUUCAGAACAGAGACCCCUUUUGCUACAACCACAAAGUGCUCCUAGGCUCAGAUGCCUUGUGGGAGACAAGGAGAUCCUGAAGAGAAGAACCCUGAGAGACCAGAGGCAGCUCUGAAGGGAGAUGGAGCUUUGAAUUGACUAAAUAUUUUCAAGAUUUUUUAAAUUAAAAGUGAUACACGGGA
RNAcentral lists this long non-coding RNA (685 nucleotides) under Homo sapiens (human). RNAcentral's name for it is "novel transcript". Lineage: Eukaryota; Metazoa; Chordata; Mammalia; Primates; Hominidae. The record is from RNAcentral.